RNAcentral lists this non-coding RNA (21 nucleotides) under Caenorhabditis elegans. The record is from RNAcentral. Lineage: Eukaryota; Metazoa; Nematoda; Chromadorea; Rhabditida; Rhabditidae.
CACGGAUGCCAGAUUUUGAAA